GAAAAAAACGGUAGGUGAACCUGCGGAAGGAUCAUUG
This 37-nucleotide ribosomal RNA is filed under the name uncultured Trebouxia photobiont. Its description in RNAcentral is "partial 18S ribosomal RNA". The record is from RNAcentral. Lineage: Eukaryota; Viridiplantae; Chlorophyta; Trebouxiophyceae; Trebouxiales; Trebouxiaceae.